This 805-nucleotide long non-coding RNA is filed under the name Brassica napus (rape). RNAcentral describes it as "long non-coding RNA (BNAP_LNC011150)". Lineage: Eukaryota; Viridiplantae; Streptophyta; Magnoliopsida; Brassicales; Brassicaceae. The record is from RNAcentral.
UCAAUAAGCUAUGUCAUGUGUGUUUUCUUAGGUGCUUUGUAACUGGUGGGGCUGGAUGGUGUUGAUGAGCCACCUACAUUUAGAUCAUCAUAUGAUUCUUUAGUUUCUUGCUUAAAUCAUAAAAAAAUAGGUUUGUUAUUUGGCAUAUGUGUAAAUAUAUUUCAUCUUACAACAAGAUCUUAGAUCUCAUAAGAAAAAUACAUCUUUUAUCCUAAUUUUCUUUUUUUCUAUUAUUUUGUGAUAUGUGUGAAUGUUUACUUUAAGGUCUAUUAUUAUUGUUUGAAAUUUAGUAUUUUUUGUUAAAGGUUAUUAACUCUUAUUGUCGAUAUUUUUGUUUUUUUUUUAAGUUGGGUUUGAUCUAAACUGUUAAAUCUUACUAUUGAUUGUGAUGGAUAUAAUCAGUAUAGUUAUUGAACUAAUAAAAGUGUUUAUUUUAUGGCACCUUUUUAGUUUCUCUUAUUAUUUAUGAAGAAUUUGAAAUAUAUUUAUAUCGAAAGUUACAAGAACUCAAAACAUAGCGGGAGGCAAAUAAAAAGUGAAACGAUGGUAAAGCAUUAUUCUAGAAACUGUCGUUGUAAAAAAAUAUUGUAUCUUCAAUAAGCUAUGUCAUGUGUGUUUUCUUGGGUGCUUUGUAACCGGUGGGGGUGGAUGGUGUUGAUGAGCCACCUACAUUUAGAUCAUCAUAUGAUUCUGUAGUUUCUUGCUUAAAUCAUAAAAAUAGGUUUGUUAUUUGGCAUAUGUGUAAAUAUAUUUCAUUUUACAAUAAGAUCUUAGAUCUCAUAAGAAAAAUACUUCUUUUAACCUA